CACGCCGUAAACGAUGGAUACUAGCUGUUGGAUCGUGAGGUUCAGUGGCUAAGCAAAAGUGAUAAGUAUCCCACCUGGGGAGUACGUUCGCAAGAAUGAAACUCAAAGGAAUUGACGGGGGCCCGCACAAGCGGUGGAGCAUGUGGUUUAAUUCGAUGAUACGCGAGGAACCUUACCAGGGCUUAAAUGUAGAUUGCAUGAUGUGGAAACACGUCUUUCUUCGGACUAUCUACAAGGUGC
RNAcentral lists this ribosomal RNA (240 nucleotides) under uncultured bacterium. Its description in RNAcentral is "partial 16S ribosomal RNA". It matches the Rfam family "Bacterial small subunit ribosomal RNA", at positions 796 to 1041 of the family's 1533-position model. The record is from RNAcentral.